UACGUAGGGGGCUAGCGUUGUCCGGAAUCAUUGGGCGUAAAGCGCGUGUAGGCGGUCCGAUAAGUCCGCUGUGAAAGUCGAGGGCUCAACCCUCGAAUGCCGGUGGAUACUGUCGGGCUUGAGUACGGGAGAGGCGAGUGGAAUUCCUGGUGUAGCGGUGAAAUGCGCAGAUAUCAGGAGGAACACCGAUUGCGAAGGCAGCUCGCUGGAACGUUACUGACGCUGAGGUGCGAAAGCGUGGGGAGCAAACAGG
Molecule: ribosomal RNA, 253 nt
Filed under: uncultured bacterium
Lineage: Bacteria
Description: partial 16S ribosomal RNA
Rfam family: Bacterial small subunit ribosomal RNA
Source: RNAcentral